UUCCAAUGGCUUUGCUCCUCUGGGCUGCUUGUUCUUUCCAAAAUGUUUGCUAUGAAAGGGCAGUUCUAAGAUUUCUCUAAAACCCUGCUCAGCAUCUCUGGUAAUGGCCUGGGGUUGGAUAUUUGUUUAAUGAUAAAUAGAAGUUUCUAUCCCUGCCACUGAGUUUUUCAGAGAGUAGAAUAACCAAGUCAAUGUUUAACCGCAUUCUUUAGUUCUGGAAUGGCAAAGUAGAAGUUAAAGGGAAGUCUCCAUGGAAACCAGCCUCCCAGGAAGUGGCCGGAGAAGUUAGUGUCUGGUGUCGGGGGACAGACUGGAAAGAUGUCAUGAAGGAAACACCUGCUUUGGGAAAUGGGUCUGUGUCUCUCCAAGGCUCACCCUCAGGCGAUUGGUGUCGCACCUAUCCAAAGCGAAGAAACAAAGCCUCCCUUAGCCGGCCCUGCGUUCUUUGCAUUGAACCACGACCUGGAAGGCAAGAGCUCAUACUCGUUCAUGAGACUGCCGGACCAAAACGGAACUCUGGAAGGACAGCUACCGCCUCUUCGAGAACCGCGGUGUAGAAGAUACCCUGCAGUAUCCAGAGCCAUGUAUCUUGACAUCCCACUGAAGCAUGAAGAAACAAGUAUUAUCAAAAGGCAUCCACCCCGAAGAAUUCAAAAGCUUGAACCCAUUGACCUGCCACAACUAAUUACCUCUGAGAGGCUUCUGAGCCAGCAAGAAGCAAGAACAAGGCACAAAGCGAAGCAGGAACUUGAGAAGAAGAUUCAGCUUCCCAGGCACACUCCUCAGAAAAGACAGUAUUUACAUAAGAUGCAGAUGCUGGAGAUGAACCAUAAAAGACAACAGGCCCAGAUGGAGUUGAGGAUGAGUCUUAAUAGUAAAUCCAUACUUGAUAUGCAAAAGCUGAAGGACCAUAAUGGCAACAAAAUCACCCAAAACACACUGAGGAGCGAUGGCUGUGACGUGCUUACCAUAAUCCCUGAUGAAACCAUAAACAGAAACCCAGCUAAACCUGUAAUUCCAGGUCUUGAUCACCAUGAAUUCCUUGAACUGCAUAGUGAGUUUUGGGUUCCAGCCUGGACUCCACAUCUCCAAAACAGACCAAGCAGCUGGUACUGUGAUCUGUUAUUGACACACAUUCUCUCCUUUAAUUCUUACACAACUAGAAGGUGAGAGUUGACAUUUACCCAUAAUGUAACACAGCCAGAAUUCAAGGUCACAUCUUCAUGACCUGCAUGACCUGCAUGACCUGCCUGCUACCACAACCUCCGUCGGAUAUUGAGAAUUCACAGCUUUGUCUAGGACAGCCCUGGAAAGUAUGCAGGCCUAAGCUGUGAGCCCUUACCCAUCAUUGAAGAGGCUGCACUCUCGAGUUCUAGACAAAAGCUGAAGAGUGCACAGAUGCUGGCCUUCAUAUGCCCCUAUCAAGGACCUCGGUGGGUGGGAACAGAAAAAGGAACCCCAGCUGGAGCCCUCUGCUAGACAUGCAGGGAGGGACAGCUGUCUCAACAUAUGGAGACUGGGUCAGCAGCAGAAUCCCCUGGGGAGUGGGGACUUUCCCAGGUCCCAUCCUCAUCCUGAAUAAGCAUCUCCAGAUAGUUCUCCAAGGGAUUCUGGAGAUCAGCUGACCUCAGAUGGACUUGCUCUCAGAGAGUACAAUCAAUUCUUAAAGUCUAUGGGAUUUUUUUUUCUUUGUGAUAACAGGAUGUGUAUGCUAAUACACCUAACAAAAUGUAUCUAGAAAAUGUAACUUGCUAGCAUGAGGUAAAAAUUCUAACUGUUCUCAUUAAAAUGGGAUAAGAAUUAAUUAGGCUCUUGUGGAAGGAGAUGUCUACAGGCAACUUCACCUGCUGCUGAAGUUUCCAGAAAGAGAAAUCUAUUACUUAUUUUUAUGGUUGCUAUGACAAAAUUGCUGACAAGAACUCUGUAGAAGCUUUGGUUCACAGUUCCGGGAUAUAGUCCAUUACAUCAGGGAAGACAUGACAGCAGGAAUGAGAGGCUGGCCACAGUGCAUCUGCAGCCAGGAAGCAGGAAGUCCACAGGAUGAAGAAUUCUUGGAAUACCACACAGAGAAUGACUAUGGUGUCCAGAAAAUUGGCAAGGUGGAGACAUGGCUCCGUGAACAAGAAGCCCGGGAGCAGCUUUUCUGGGGCAGCUCCAGCUCU
Molecule: RNA transcript, 2162 nt
Organism: Meriones unguiculatus (Mongolian gerbil)
Lineage: Eukaryota; Metazoa; Chordata; Mammalia; Rodentia; Muridae
Gene: Ccdc198
Gene name: coiled-coil domain containing 198
Exons: 8
Source: RefSeq, a predicted model, not a curated record